Molecule: ribosomal RNA, 444 nt
Filed under: uncultured Flavobacterium sp.
Lineage: Bacteria; Pseudomonadati; Bacteroidota; Flavobacteriia; Flavobacteriales; Flavobacteriaceae
Description: bacterial SSU rRNA
Rfam family: Bacterial small subunit ribosomal RNA
Source: RNAcentral
AACGCUAGCGGCAGGCUUAACACAUGCAAGUCGAGGGGUAGAAGGAGCUUGCUCCUUUGAGACCGGCGCACGGGUGCGUAACGCGUAUGCAAUCUACCUUGUACAGGGGGAUAGCCCAGAGAAAUUUGGAUUAAUACCCCAUAGUAUUUUCAGAUGGCCUCAUUUGAUUAUUAAAGUUCCAACGGUACAAGAUGAGCAUGCGUCCCAUUAGCUAGUUGGUGUGGUAACGGCAUACCAAGGCAACGAUGGGUAGGGGUCCUGAGAGGGAGAUCCCCCACACUGGUACUGAGACACGGACCAGACUCCUACGGGAGGCAGCAGUGAGGAAUAUUGGUCAAUGGGCGCAAGCUUGAACCAGCUAUGCCGCGUGCAGGAUGACGGUCCUAUGGAUUGUAAACUGCUUUUGUACAGGAAGAAACCCUCCCUUGUAAGGGAGCUUGACGG